UUUGAUCAUUAUCAUGUAAAUAAUUUGGAAAGCAAUAAAAAUAUUUGGAAGAAUUUGUUAUUCUAACAUGUUUUGAACUUUUCAAAAUUUGUAAAAUAUCUCAUAAGGUGUCCAUCAAGUGUCAUCGAGUGUCGGAAUUAAAACGUGUCCGCAGUACAGGUACAUUAACAAGUUAUAGUUUCCGUGCCACAUAAAUUAACACAUAUAGUCAAGAUAUUUGUUAUUCUUAGUUUGUAAUAUUCCAUCUCGAUAAUAUCUAAAGUUGACAUACAAAAAUAAGGAAAAUUCGAUGCUAUACGUAGUAUCUAUAUAUGUAUGCUUACCGUAGGUUGGGUGGAUCUAUGCUUAAUAUAUAGGGUGGGAUUCUUGCCUAAUUUAUUAUUCCACUCUAAUUUUAAAAGGGUUAAAUUAAGUUUACACAUCUAAUGUAUAUCAUCUGUAACACUUAUAGAGUAUUAUUUGUAACAUUUAUCCCUCUCAAGCUCAAUUUAAUUUGUAUUUUAAAUUCUAAUACCUUAAAUUUUCUUUUUUUAUUUAAAAUAAUAACUAAAAGAAUAAUUAAA
This 563-nucleotide long non-coding RNA is filed under the name Erythranthe guttata (spotted monkey flower). Its description in RNAcentral is "long non-coding RNA (EGUT_LNC001327)". The record is from RNAcentral. Lineage: Eukaryota; Viridiplantae; Streptophyta; Magnoliopsida; Lamiales; Phrymaceae.